CCUUUUGCCCUUUUUUUUUAUUUAUUUUCCUUUUCUGUUUUAUUUCUAGUUUCUCUUUUAUUUUGUUUUAGCAAAAUACCAAAAUGGCACCUAAUUUGUUGUUACCAAAUAAGUCACAACCACAAAAAGUUUCAUCCCAAAAUAAUAUAUUUUAAUAUUUUACAAAAUACAAAAGGCAUUUAAUUAAUGGUUUUAGCUACUGAUUUAAUUAGUUUGGUGCAUUUAAACAUUUUAUAAAGACUUGGUUCCUCCACCAAUAUUACAUAUGAUUUAUUUGUCACCUUUAGAACAUUUUAGUUUUGACAUUUGAAAAGUUUUAUUUUCCACUUUUAAAUUUAAUUGAAGUUUGAACUAGGAGUUUUGAAAAGGAAAUGUGAUUCAAAUGUGAUCAAGCCCUGUUUAGCGACAUGAUUAGCUUAAUCACAGGGAGUUACUGUAGCAUGAUUCUCGGGGUGUUACAAAUCUCCUCCACUACAAGAAAUCUCGUCCCGAGAUUUAAGAGGGGAGUAAGGGGGGAAGGUUUGGUACCGAAUCUAGCGGGUCUUCUCAUCCUGGCUUGCACUUCUGGAAGAGGCUGGUCCAAUACAUUGAUGUCUUCAUUUCUCUGCUCCGGUCAUCAUGAUGAAGUCGGCGUCCUUUCUUCAGGAACUCCAUCAUACUUGCGAAAGAAUAAGGGGUGGGCAUUCUGGGAGAACGGGCCUCGACAAGGUUGUCUAUCGGGUCGACAGCAUCGAGGAAGGUGGCGAAAGGUAACCCUCGAAUCGAAACUUAAGAAAAUAUCGAGAGCAAAGUAAGGAGGUAACCUGGGAAGUUUCGAGCGGGCAGGCAAUCGUUCGAUGCCUGUUAUAGGGCGUGAAAGGGUCAAAGCAACGGGAAUAAGUAUUGUGUCCGAUAUCAGACCUGAAGGUGGCUUGUGAAUUACAUACGAGGCCAGGUGCGAGGAACAACCUUGAAAACAGGGGGUGUACAUAAGAGUCAGGUUUCGAUCCUGUGGAACUGUGGGUUAUGGGCCCACCAUGUGGGUUAAAAGUGGGAACGGCGGUGACAUCUUGCACGAUCAUGAUAGCAAGGCAUGUCAGAGGGUAACCUGUCAGUUAUAUGUCAGCAACAUCGUCGGUACCAAGGGCGAGGGACGAAGAGAACCAUUUUCCUGCUCGUUGAAACGAGGCGGACCAAUAGGCAAAGUUCUCGUCCAUCGGUGGUUACCGGAAUGUCACCAACAAUAGUAACAGGGUCUUACUGACAGAGUUGUACACUGAGGUGUUUGCACAAGCAGGGAAUUAAUACUGCUUAGAUCAUAUAGUCCACCAGAAAAGUUAAACCAAACAAUGGAAAGGAAAAUAUGAUUAUCAGAUUAAACAGAAGAAUGGAAAGGAAAAUGUGUUUAAACACAUAUUUCAAGGUUAUAUCCUUUCCAAGGACAAGCAGAGCAUGAUAUCCAUGACAUGAUAUAAUGUAGAAAACUCUUUAGGUACGGGAGAGACAAUUUCAUGACAUUACCCAUACAAUGGUGUUUGGAUAAUUGAGCAGGAAACAUUUAGCAUUGGGCUUCAAAUGUUCCUGUUGAAAAUCGGAGUACCAUAGACAUGCUUUGAGAUAGCAUUGACAUGGUCAACAGGUGAAGAUCAGAAUUUGGAAACAAAAAGGAUCCAUCAGGAACAACUUAUAGAAUAAGUCUUACAAUUUCCUCAUGGAAGAAUAGAUAACCUUGCUGAAGGGAAAACUUAUAACAAUAGGUCCUCCCGCCAGGUGUGCUGGGUAUCAUCACCUUACCGGGUCAUAAAUAGGUCAAUGUUAUAACUCUUGGAAAUAUGUUCCAACCAUCAUAUCUGACCGAGAUUCAGAUCUGAUUGGUGUCAGGGUAACUCAGACUCAGGAUGCCUGAGAAGAAAGGUGCAACACAAAUUGUCGAAACGACAGCGGAGAUUCUCGGGAGAUGAACUAUGGAAGCGAGUUCUGGACAAGGGUUCAUCGUUACAUCAAGGAGAGGUGAGGAGGUGACUGAUUGACUCAGCGACACUCCAUUGAGAUUCCCAAAAGAUGGAUUUCCAUCACUAUGUGAACAAGGAGAUAACAUUAGCUAGAUCGAAUGACUUAAUGAUGUAUGCUCGAGGAAAACAUACAUAGUUAAACAUUGGUUGAAAUGUGCACCCGAAAUAUGGGCUAGGUAGCACAAACAAUGUCCGAAUGAUGAUUCAUUAAGCCAUAGACGUAGAAUGAAACUAUAGGCCAAUAACUUCAAAGCAAUAGGGUUGCUAGAAGUUUAGAAUUUACACAUCACAGACCAUUGGUCGGUAUUCCUUUUAGAAACAACACGGGGACCAAGAAAGAAUGGUGAUGGGGAGAAGUAUCACUGUACCAAGAUGUCAUACGAGGUGGUGAGAUUCUUACGACAUUCUUGACAUAAAAGAUGGUAAUACUCCAGGGUAGAACAUAUCAUAAGCUAGAUAGCAAGGAAAUCAAGGUACAACACAAAACACGAACAAGUUUGUGUUGAAUGGAAGGCAAUAAAAUGGUCGAUGAUAAAACAAAUCAUCGAGGGCAAGGAUGGUAUUUCUCAUCCAGAAUUCGAUAGAUAUCUUGGAAGAGCUCAGAAUGUUGAUGAUGUUCACGACACAUUUGUAGCGAGAAUUUAUGAAGAGGUAAUCGAUCGGCGAUGUCAUCAAGUCGAAGGAAUAAUGAAGCGGACGGUUAUUGGAACCAUGAUUAGGACACACGCUUGAACUCAAGCUUGUUGUUCCAGGUGAAAUGGUAUGAGAGGAAAAUCGGCGUAGGCUUAGCUCAUCAUCGAAAGUUGUGUUACGGGGUUAAGGACCAGGUAGCACAGUUAAAAUUUAGCACGCUAAUGAUAUAGCCGAUCAGGCUAGGAAUGAUUUAAUGAUUAUUAAACUCGUAAGCAACGAAAAUUACCUAGAGUUAUUGAAUCGGAGUGCGGACUUGAUUCACUAUUCGGUGUUCUCAGUUGACAAACAACCCAGAGCCCAUGAAGUGACAAAGACAAGGUAAGGUAGUACUUCAUCAAAGUUUAUAAGAUGUAGUGCAAUGGUAAGAUAUCCCCGAGAUACCAGGGGUAACACUCAAGGUAGAUCAUAAUAGAGGUUGGGCAGGCGUAUUGACCUGCAGGAGACAAGUGAUUUAACUUGUCCAAGAAAUGGUAUUUAAAGGAGAACAUGGUCGGAACCACGAUUGAAAAAGGCCAGAUCCCAGAUAUAAGAUGAACUUAUACCAAGGGAAUAAUUAAUUUAAGAGAAGCUUUUAGUGAUAAGAUCUACAUCGUGUCCAUGGGCAUGAACACAAAGUUCAAGGUCGACUCCCACUUCUUCAAUGCAUAACCUUCCCUUCGCCUCUCGUAUUUUGAUAAUGACAUUAGAUGUCGAAAGUUUUACCUGGUGCAAUACCAGAUAAGUAUGUCCCGCGAAAUCUUUCGGGUUCACACAGAUUAAUGAAGGCAUAGGUUCAACCCAUCGGGGCAUCGAAGAAAGAUAGACUACAAACUUCAGGAGUAAAUAACACAAGCUCAGAAGUAGAGCACGGUCGACAAAGCAGAGGAUACAAUUUACCAAAGGCAUCAUGUAUCCGAGGAAAAGCUCACAAGCUUAUUUAAUAUGGAGGACAUUGUCGGAUAAAAUCCGACAAAAGGGUCUGGUGGUCCACAAGGGAUCUGAUGUGAGCAUCAGUACUCAACCAGAGGAAGAAGAAUGUAAGGAGAUCUGAUUAUGGAAACAACUGACUAACUCAAAGUUCAAAUGCAAAGGAAUUAUGAUUUCCAAAUCAGGGGGUCAGAAGCAACGCUCUGAGCAAGGAUGGUUAAGUUGAGUAGGCUUAGGGGUACCAUCGAUGGCAAUUUGAUAGGUCGAGAUCCAGCUCACGUUUAGAAUGGCGUCCGAGCCGGAAGAAUGAAUUCUAGAAUAUGAUUGAGGUUUGCGAGCAUUCACAACAAAUUGAAUCAACGGACUCAAAAUGAUAAAGACAAGAGAUGCCAAUAAGAUUACGAGACUUAUGGGAUUAACCAUAAUGCAAGCAAACAAGAAUUUCAAGAGCAAUAGGCUCCUGAGAAUUUUCGGAAGAUCGAAUAGUAUUUUGAAGACUAUUGUGGAAUACUUGAAUCAACUGGGGAUGAGCGGAUACUCGGUAAGUGCGAGAAUUAUCCGUAGGGGUAUUCAGGUGACAAAGAACAGCAAGGCAGUAAGCUCAAAGGAUUCUCGGAACGACAGAGAGAAUUUCGGGGUAUCUUGUAAUAACAAGAUCAACUGGGAAACAUUGUAUGAGUGGCAAGUAUACGUGGUUAUCCAUAGGAGUUUAUCGAUGAAAGGGAAUUGCAAAAGCGAUGAACACAAGUUCUCGGGUUAUCAGCGGAGAGUAUCUUCAGGGUCUUCACGGGCAGCAGACGAUCAUCAGUAAUAAGGGGCUCUCCGAGUGAAAGUGAUAACGAGAUCCUAAUGUUAGAUUUAGCAAAAUUCACUUAACCCGAAUAGAAGAGAGAUCAGAGUCCCAGAGUAUAGACAAGGAGUAAAAGAUCCUAAUACCACCCAAUGGCGACGUGGGCCCGUAAGCUACACAGCCAUGUUAGUAAAAGUUUUUCAACGACUAGACUCGACUUCGGCCAAGGAGUGUGGAAGGGGGGUUCCUACAGGCAGUCGGCUCUGAUACCAACUUGUGACGCCCCCGAUUUGAACGUACACUAAUCAUGCACGCAAAUGUGUACGACCAAGAUCAGGGACUCACGGGAAGAUAUCACAACACAACUCUAAAACAUAAAUAAGUCAUACAAGCAUCAUAAUACAAGCCAGGGGCCUCGAGGGCUCGAAUACAAGUGCUCGAUCACAGACGAGUCAGCGGAAGCAACAAUAUCUGAGUACAGACAUAAGUUAAACAAGUUUUGCCUUAAGAAGGCUAGCACAAAACUAGCAACGAUCGAAAAGGCAAGGCCUCCUGCCUGGGACCUCCUAACUACUCCUGGUCGUCGUCAGCGGCCUGCACGUAGUAGUAGGCACCUCCAGUGCCGUGGGAGUCGUCGUCGACGGUGUCGUCUGGCUCCUGGACUCCAACAUCUGGUUGCGACAACCAGAUAGAAAGGAAAGGGGGGAAAAGAGGGAGAGAAGCAACCGUGAGUACUCAUCCAAAGUACUCGCAUGCAAGGAGCUACACUACAUAUGCAUGGGUAUAUGAGUAAAGAGGCAUAUCAGUGGACUGAACUGCAGAAUGCCGGAAUAAGAGGGGGAUAGCUAGUCCUGUCGGAGGCUAAGCUUCUGGACAUCUCCAUCUUGCAGCAUGUAGAAGAGAGUAGAUUGAAGUCCUCCAAGUAGCAUCGCGUAGCAUAACCCUACCCGGCGGUCCCCUCCUCGUCACCCUGUUAGAGGACGAUCACCGGGUUGUAUCUGGCACUUGGAAGGAUGUAUUUUAUUCAGUAUCCAGUUCUAGUUGUCAUAAGCUCAAGGUACAACUCCGGGUCGUCCUUUUACCGAGGGACACGGCUAUUCGAAUAGAUAAACUUCCCUGCAGGGGUGCACCACAUAACCCAACACGCUCGAUCCCAAUUGGCCGGACACACUUUUCUGGGUCAUGCCCGGCCUCGUAAGAUCAACACGUCGCAGCCCCACCUAGGCUCAACAGAGAGGUCAGCACGCCGGUCUAAACCUAUGCGCGCAGGGGUCUGGGCCCAUCGCCCUAAGCACACCUGCACGUUGCGAACGCGGCCGCGAGCAGACCUAGCAACCCACACGAUCACGGCGGUUACGUCAAAGCGGUCCAACACGGCGCGCGCCACUCAGUCGCUGACGUCAAAAGAGCUUCGGCUAAUACCACGACGUCGGGAUACCCAUAACUACUCCCACGUAGAUGGUUAGUGCGUAUAGACCAAAUGGCCAGACUCAGAUCAAAUACCAAGAUCUCGUUAAGCGUGUUAAGUAUCCGCGAACGCCGACCAGGGCCAGGCCCACCUCUUACCUAGGCGGUCUCAACCUGCCCUGUCGCUCCGCCACAAAGAUCCACUUGCGGGUACUCCUACGAGCCGACCCGACUUUAGUCAUCACAUGUGUCAUGUAUAUAGUGUAUAUAGUAUAUACCCGUGAUCACGGCCCAGGUGAUCACGGCCCGAUAGUAUAGCACAGCAGACGGACAAGAAUGUAGGGCCACUGAUGGAAAUCUAGCAUCCUAGACUAAGCAUGUAGGAUUGCAGGUAAAGGUGUCAACAGUAGAAGCAAGGAUAGGCUAUGCAUCAGAAUAGGAUAUCGAAAAGCAGUAACAUGCUACACUACUCUAAUGCAAGCAGUAUAGAGGAGAGUAGGCGAUAUCUGGUGAUCAAGGGGGGGGCUUGCCUGGUUGCUCUGGCAAGUAGGAGGGGUCGUCGACUCCGUAGUCGAACUGGGCAGCAGCAGUGUCGGUCUCGUAGUCUACCGGAGAGAAGAGGGGGAAGAAACAGUAAAUACAAUGCAAACAUAAGCAGGACGAUGCGUGACAUGACAGUGAGCGGUGCUAGGGGUGUCCUAACGCGACAGUAGGUGGUACCGGUGAAGGGGGGGAACAUCCGGGAGGUAUUCCCGAUGUUUCGCGUUUUCGGACAGACGGACCGGAGGGGGAAAGUUGCUAGUUCGAUAGGAUAGGGAGGUGUGGUGGACGAACGGACUGCGUAUUCGGAUUCGUCUUGUCGUUCUGAGCAACUUUCAUAUAGAAAACAUUUUCAUCCGAGUUACGGUUUAAAAGAAAUUAAUUUUCAAAGUUUAUUUGAAUUUCUGGAAUUAUCUAAUUAACAGAAAAAAUGAAUUAUGACGUCAGCAUGAGGCAAUGCUGACGUCAGCAAGUCAACAGGUCGGCUGACCAGUCAAACCAGACAGGUGGGUCCAGUGGGACCCACAUGUCAGCCUCUGUUAGUCUAAUACUUAAUUAGACUAAUCUAACAGUAUAAUUAGAGGGAUGGGCCCCACAUGUCAGUGAGUGUUUAGCUAAACUAAUUAUUUUUAUUUAUAAAACAUUUUCUUUUUCUUUAUUUUUUUAAUUUCUGCGGCGGGGCCCGCAUGUCAGUGACUGGGCCUGCCCAGUCAGCAGUUGACUGGGUCAACCCAGUCAACUGGGGCCCGUGGGGGCCACUGGCAGGGGCACUGGGGUGGGGCCCGGAGGGGCACGUCGGCGGGCGGCGCCGGAGACACGCCGGCGACCAUCUCCGCGGCGGAGCAUCGCCGGACUUCGUCGGAAAAACGCUACGGGGCACGAGGAUAGGUGCGGCUAGGCGCGUUCGAUCGAGCGUCCGACGCCGUAUCGAUCUACGUCGGUCCCAUGGGCUAACUCGACCGGAGUGGCGCGUUACAUCGACGGCGGUGUCGACCGUGGCGGACGCCGGUGAUCUGGCGUCAUCGCGAACAACGACAGAGGCUGCGACAUGCCCAAAAGAGGGGUCCGACGAGGUCCUAGAGGUGCCCGGAGCACGUCUACGAGCUCGGUUGAGCACUUUAUCGUCGGUAGCGACGGCGACGAGCACCGCGGCGGAGAAAAGCUCGGGUGAAAUGGAAGUGGCGGCUACGGGCAUCUACGGGCAGCGCUGAGAGAGGGGGAAGGAGAGACUGCUCACCGGGGAGGCACACGGAGGCCACGGUGGUGGCUUAGGAGCAGCAGGGCGUCGGCAAUCGGCGGAGGAGCGCCGGCGACCGUAGGCGCGGAAGAACUCGAUUCCGGGGCUGUGGUGGCGCCGAGCUCGAACCCUUGGUCAGAGAUGGAGUAGAGGAAGCAGGCGUAGCUGUUGGACUCCUCGGCGAGGCGCGGGGAGCAUGGUGGCCGCGUUAAUGGCGAACGGCGGCGAUGAUGGUGCUCGGGCGAGAUGGAAAAGCGAGGGAGAGGAGCAGGCGGGGGAGAAAGAUCUCAAGGGUUGUCGACGAGGCCUAGGGGACUCGUCCUUAUCCCCUCGGCGAUGUGGCGGCGUGGGGCGGCGAGCAGGUCCGGCGGGGACGGCGAGGGCGUACGCCCUCGGUCGGGUGAACAGACGACGAGGGGGGGAAGACGACAAGGGGAGGGGGGCUUGCUGGGCCGCUGGACCGAUUCGGUCGGCUGGGCCAGUGGGCCAAGGCCCUUGGGGAGCCGGGGGGGUUUUCUUUCCUUUUGCCCUUUUUUUUAUUUAUUUUCCUUUUCUGUUUUAUUUCUAGUUUCUCUUUUAUUUUGUUUUAGCAAAAUACCAAAAUGGCACCUAAUUUGUUGUUACCAAAUAAGUCACAACCACAAAAAGUUUCAUCCCAAAAUAAUAUAUUUUAAUAUUUUACAAAAUACAAAAGGCAUUUAAUUAAUGGUUUUAGCUACUGAUUUAAUUAGUUUGGUGCAUUUAAACAUUUUAUAAAGACUUGGUUCCUCCACC
Molecule: long non-coding RNA, 8338 nt
Filed under: Triticum aestivum (bread wheat)
Lineage: Eukaryota; Viridiplantae; Streptophyta; Magnoliopsida; Poales; Poaceae
Description: long non-coding RNA (TAES_LNC019293)
Source: RNAcentral